This 2054-nucleotide long non-coding RNA is filed under the name Homo sapiens (human). RNAcentral describes it as "non-protein coding lnc-RPLP0-1:1". The record is from RNAcentral. Lineage: Eukaryota; Metazoa; Chordata; Mammalia; Primates; Hominidae.
CCCCUCUGCAUUUCUCUCUUCUCCAGACCAGCUCCUCCACUGUGGCUCUGAGUGCCCCGGGGCUGUCCAGCUCUGCUCCGUCCUCAUACUGCUCCCUUCCUCCUUCUCCUCCUCCCAUGCCAUCUGUAUUUCUGCCACCCACCACUAUACCCUCCCCUCGAGGCCAGGGCCACACUCCGGAGUUCCCUUGUACUGAGCAGAGUGGACGAGGCCUUCUACCUCCUGUAGCCCCCAGCUGGCUUGAUUUGGCUGGUCUUGGGGUGAUGCCUGACACCUUCAACUCAAGGUCUCCCUCUGUGGAGGGUUCUCUGUGGGCAGUGGGCACAGAGAGUCAGGGUCGAGAUUGGAGGCACCUGCCGACCAUCACAAGUGAGCUCUCUGGGGCUCCCCGCUGCCACACUGUACCCUGUGCUGGGAGCACAGCUCUCCAAGAGCCUGGGGAGCCCCAGGGGCCACCAGCCAGCCCUUCGUGCCCAGAGGAGGCCUUGGCUGCCACAUGGGAGCAGCCAUGGGCUUCGGAGGUAUUCGGGCCUGAGAGAAUGCCCCCCUCUGGAGCUGCUCGAAGCUUCCAAGAAGUAACAGAGCCAGCUGUAGUGGCAGUGGACCGGCAGGCCAUCUUCCCAGAUACCUGGACUCUCACGGAGGAACAUGGCCUACAGCAGGAGAGGCCAAGGCCAGAGCCAGGGAGGCUGGGAAGCAGCUCCCCUGCCUCAGUUACCACGGAGCAGCUAGGUGCAAAGAUGACCGAGAGGGGAAGUGUGGCCAGGCCAACCCAGGGACCUGAAACCCCAAGGAGCCCAGAGGGCACCACGGAAGCUGCCACCCAGGACGGGAAGGAACAGCCAGAGCUUCCAUGUGCCAUGGCCAUGGGCACACCCAGCACCACGGAGAGGAUUUCCACCUCUGGCCAGGCAGGCACCAGCUCGCAUGGCUGCUGGGCAUGGCCAUUGGCGGGUCUGAGUGUGGGCCGCUCCUCGCUAACUGCAUGCAGCCUCCCACUCUGCGCAUGUCUGCUUGGGCAGAAAAUGCUGAGACACUGUGGCCGGACCUGACAGUCAGCACUUGGCAGUGGGCUCUGUGGACCCAGCAUUUCUCAUAGCGUCAACCCACCUCUUGCCUUGUUGAGGCUUUUUCCUUUCAGAUGAGCUGUCCUUGACAUUCUGAUGUGGUGAAAUGGUUAGCAGCAUGGACUUUGGAACCAGAUAGACCUAGAUACAAACCACAUGUCUAACACUUGCUACCUCUGUGACCUUGGGCAACCCCCUCCCUCAGCCUCAGUUUUCUCAUCUGUAAAGUGGGGAGAAUUUCCAUCAAGAUUGUCCGGAGACCUAAAUGAGAUAAUUCCUGGAAAGUGUUUAGAACACAGCAUGUGGUCCCUCAAUAGGCCGUGGCUGACAGUACUUUUAUUACUUGCUUUUUGCUUAAAUUAAAACUUUAUGCCGGGCCAGGUGUGGUGGCUCACGCCUGUAAUCCCAGCACUUUGGGAGGCCGAGGCGGGCGGAUCACCUGAGGUUGGGAGUUCGAGGCCAGCCUGACCAACAUGGAGAAACCCCAUCUCUACUAAAGAUACAAAAAGAUUAGCUGGGCAUGGUGGCGCAUGCCUGUAAUCCCAGCUACUCAGGAGGCUGAGGCAGGAGAAUCACUUGAACCCAGGACGCAGAGGUUGCGGUGAGCCAAGAUCAUACCAUUGCACUCCAGCCUGGGCAACAAGAGUGAAACUUGGUCUCAAAAAACAAAAACAAAACAACAACAACAACAAAAAACUUUAUGCCUCACCCUGGCACAGUAGCUUAUACCUGUAAUCCUAGCACUUUGGGAGGCUGAGGCAAGAGGAUCGCUUGAGCCCAGGAGUUUGAGACCAGCCUAGGCAACACAGUGAAACCCUGUCUCUACAAAAAAUUAAAGAUUAGCUGGGCGUGGUUGCACAUGCCUAUAGUCCCAGCUGCUGGGGAGGCUAAAGCAGGAGGAUGGCUUUAGCCCAGGAGUUUGAGGCUGCAGUGAGUUGUGAUCGCACCACUGCAUUCAGCCUGAGCAACAGAUCAAGACACUGUCUC